This 77-nucleotide transfer RNA is filed under the name Actinomycetes bacterium. RNAcentral's name for it is "tRNA-Arg". It matches the Rfam family "tRNA". Rfam says of the family: Transfer RNA (tRNA) molecules are approximately 80 nucleotides in length. Their secondary structure includes four short double-helical elements and three loops (D, anti-codon, and T loops). Further hydrogen bonds mediate the characteristic L-shaped molecular structure. tRNAs have two regions of fundamental functional importance: the anti-codon, which is responsible for specific mRNA codon recognition, and the 3' end, to which the tRNAs corresponding amino acid is attached (by aminoacyl-tRNA synthetases). tRNAs cope with the degeneracy of the genetic code in two manners: having more than one tRNA (with a specific anti-codon) for a particular amino acid; and 'wobble' base-pairing, i.e. permitting non-standard base-pairing at the 3rd anti-codon position. The record is from RNAcentral. Lineage: Bacteria; Bacillati; Actinomycetota; Actinomycetes.
GCGCCCUUACCUCAGCUGGAUAGAGGGCCUGACUACGAAUCAGGACGUCAUAGGUUCGAAUCCUAUAGGGCGCGCCA